RNAcentral lists this transfer RNA (77 nucleotides) under Gemmatimonadota bacterium. Its description in RNAcentral is "Gemmatimonadetes bacterium tRNA-Arg". It matches the Rfam family "tRNA". Rfam says of the family: Transfer RNA (tRNA) molecules are approximately 80 nucleotides in length. Their secondary structure includes four short double-helical elements and three loops (D, anti-codon, and T loops). The record is from RNAcentral. RNAcentral also lists the same sequence under 1 other name. Lineage: Bacteria; Pseudomonadati; Gemmatimonadota.
GCGGAUGUAGCUCAACUGGAUAGAGCAUCUGGCUACGGACCAGAAGGUUCCGGGUUCGAAUCCUGGCAUCCGCACCA